GACGAACGCUGGCGGCGUGCUUAAUACAUGCAAGUCGAACGGAAAGGCCCUGCUCUUGCGGGGUGCUCGUGUGGCGAACGGGUGAGUAACACGCGAGUAACCUGCCCUUGACUUUGGGAUAACUUCAGGAAACUGGGGCUAAUACCGGAUAUGAGCUCCUGCUGCAUGGUGGGGGUUGGAAAGUUUCGGCGGUUGGGGAUGGACUCGCGGGUUAUCAGCUUGUUGGUGGGGUAGCGGCUUACCCAGGCGUUGACGGGUAGCCUACCUGAGAGGGGGAUCGGCGACACUGGAGCGGAGACACGGUCAAGACUCCUACGGGAGGCAGCAGUAGGGAAUCGUGGGCAAUGGGGGAAAGUCUGACGGAGCGACGCCGCGUGAGUGACGAAGGCCUGCGGAGCGUAAAACUCUGUUAUGGGUGAAGAACAAAUGUGUAAGUAACCAUGCACGUCGUGACGGUACGUAAUCAGAAAGCCACGGCUAACUACGUG
This 488-nucleotide ribosomal RNA is filed under the name uncultured bacterium. RNAcentral's name for it is "partial 16S ribosomal RNA". It matches the Rfam family "Bacterial small subunit ribosomal RNA", at positions 28 to 507 of the family's 1533-position model. The record is from RNAcentral.